GCUAUUACAAAUGUAAAUUUUGUUAACACAUCCAUAUCGUAUACACUCUAAAUUCAACACGCUACCGCUUUGCGACUCUAAACAGCUUCCUGUUUUCUUUCCUAUCCCGACGUCUCGGUCACGGUCACGUGCUGGAGGUUCAGGAGGCGAAGGCCAUGAUGGAUAACCACCCUCAGUGGGAUAUCCCAGAAACUGAAGAAGAGGAGGAUGACCAGGAGGACAGUGAUGGCAUUGAGGAAUCUGAGGAAGAUGAAGAAGACAACGGCUAAACCAGUCAUCUCUCUAUGGCUCUGAGGGAUUAGGCCUGACUUCCCCACCAGCAGCGGCCAAAGUGGCCCGAACUGGGGAUGACAACUGAUGAGGAUCAAGGCUUGGGCUAUUCUGCCCUCUGAGAGGCACUGUGAACUGAGAAGAGCUGGACAGGAGAAAAGCCCUUGGACAGGAGAGACGCAAUCUCAAUGUUCAAUGAAUGGAUCCCCCUACAUAGGUUAGAGAGCCCUGCAGCCUAAUUAAUUACUCCUGACUUUCUUGUUAAAAUGUUAAUAUCAGGACCUCACUAAUUUGCUAUUAAUGGUGGUCCUAUAUUUAAAAAACUGAACAAAACUUAAGAAAGACAACAUUUAAAGGGGAAAUUACAUAGGCUACAGUUGGCCCAUUAAAACAAAACAAGAGUGGUAAAGAGUUGGUAAUACGUAGCUAUAGUUAUUUCUGUAUGACAGUACCCUUUUAAGGAGUUAGAAACUGCAAUUCACGGUUUCUUUUUUUCAAGUGGGAUAGUUCAAAGGCAAAAUGUGGUGUUAGGUUUUUAGCUUACAAUAAAAGGUACAAAAGCUUGAUCUUUUUCAAAAGCUACACCUUUGUACCUAUAUUCAAGUUUCAAGUUUAAUUGACUUAUAUAGCACCAUUUAAACAGCAGCAGUUGACCAAUGUGCUUUACAGCGUUAUAUAAAAUAAAUACAAGCAAAAAAUUAAAAAUCUGAUCAAAUCAGUGACUAAUUAUCAACAAGAUAUCAAAAGAAAAUCAGAACAACAAAAGUCUAAUUAAAAAAAUUAAUCAUCAAGGGAAAAUAAAAGUAAUGGAAAAGAGUUUCACGCAAAGAUUUGAAAAUCUGUAUUGUAGGAGCAGAUCUAAUAAGAACUGCUCCAGAGUUAUGUCCCGCGACUGCAAAAAUACGUUCACCUCUUUGAUUAAUAUUUACACCACAAUGAUGUAGUCAAAAAAAACGUUUUUAAAUAGGUCCAAGUAGGCUUAUACAUGACAACAUUUUCAAAAUGAUUUGCAUUUACAAAUAUCCGCGAAAACAGCUAAAAAUGCUGUAUUACAUAUGCCAGGCCAGUAUUUGGCGCUAUCACCUUAUUAGUAAACAGUACCUGUUGCCAUGUGUAUAUGAUGCAUCUCCGCUGUUGGUUGUAAUAAUGUGAAGUAAAUCCACACAUCCAUACUUGAGGGUAGAAGAGAGCGCUGGUUAUUCACUCCCCCCACCGACAAUUCCUGCAGGUCCAGAGACUUAAAAUGCCCCAUUAUGCCUUUUUACCUUUCAUGCAGUGUGUCAUGUAGCUGUAUGUGAACAUAAACUAUCUGCAAAGUUGUGAAGCUGACAGUGCAUGAUAGAUAAAGUUAUUGUCUGUAAAAAAAAAAAAAAAGAAUCGAGUCCUAAUGGCCCAAAGUCGUCAGGAAUUUGAAUCUUAUUCUGUUAUUCUAUCUCACAAAGUAACACAUUUGCAUAAUGUCCGCCCACAUUUUACAUUUUACGUUGUAAACUUGCCUGCCCACAAACACAGUCCAAUCCAUAAUCUGGAUCAGCUAAUGACCAUAAAUGACCUGGAUGGUGUGGCUAGAAACCAUGUAAAACCAGCUCUAUUUCACCGGGGCAGUACCCUUACAAAAGGUACAUCUUCGAAGGGUGCAUAUCAGUACCUUAUAUUGGAAUAUUAUAUCUAAAUGGUACCUUUUAAAAGGGUACUCAACCAAUGAUAGUUUUUGUACCUUCUUUCCUGAGAGUGUGGAUUAAUAUAUAAAACCUUAUAUAAAACACAACUUCUGCUAACAGGCUAAACUUCUGCUUCUGACUAAACACCCCUUCACAAAAAUGAAAUAUAAUUUACAACUAUAGGCUAUAUAUGCUGCUGGAAUUAAAAAAACAAACAAACAUAUGUUAGAGGAAUAUGUGUUUUCUCAAAAAGCACACAUCAUGUGUGAUUUUUUUUAUCCACCGUGAAUAAAAUUGGGUGACAUUUGCUGUUGGAGAACUGAUUAGUAGCACUAAUCAAUGAUGUUUUGAGCUUGUCUCCCUC
Long non-coding RNA from Carassius auratus (goldfish), 2295 nucleotides. RefSeq lists it as uncharacterized. Lineage: Eukaryota; Metazoa; Chordata; Actinopteri; Cypriniformes; Cyprinidae. The record is from RefSeq and is a predicted model, not a curated record. The transcript is spliced from 3 exons.